UAUUAAAACGGUGAGAGGAUAAUUAACGGCUAAAUAAGUUCUACUUUAUAAUGACUUGCGAUCCUCUUGUAUUUGGUUUUAACUAAUUAUCUAAUAGUUAAGUGAGUCAGUAAACAUCUGACCUAUGCUUUUGUAUUAGUUGGAAUUGGUACCUAUAUUUAAAACCUGAUCAAUAUGUAAGUGAUUAACAACGCUUUCUUGGCGAGUUGUAAAUCAAAAGAUACUUCUGCUCUUUCAUGUGGCGUUCAUUGUGUGAGCAUAAGUGCAGGGGUGGUGUGUGGGCGGCACAUGUCUGUUGUAUUCAAAGAGAACAGAGGAAGUAUUGAAAAGCUGCAUUUCAACGCAGCAUUACUGAAGACUGGAAACUUGGGCACGGUUAAUAGUAGAAGAAUCAUCUCAUCAUUGGAACAGAAGACUUCAACAAAAGGGUUCCAAAAUCAAAAAAGCUAGGUCUGCAUAUUGAAUACAUUCAAGAGAAGAAUAAAUAUGGGUGGCAGUGCUCCUAGUAAAGAAUAUGUUAAAGUAUAUCAUUGUUGCAGAUGCAGCUGCCAAAUCACUGGUGAUUAUGGCAAAUAUGGCAAUGCAGUUUACUGCCGACCAUGUCAUAAUGCUGAAACAGCAGAAAGGGCAAGUGCAGAAGCGAAAAGACAAAAUGAGCAAAUGGAAAUCCAAAAGCAACAACGAGCAAGACAAAAGGAGAUGGAGGAAAGACAACGCAUCCAAGGAGAAGCACAAAAAAGAAAGCUGGAAAAAGAAAACGCAGCAAUGAUAACUGCUCAGUAAAGUGCUGUGAGCUUCACAUUCCUUCAGCGUUAUUUGAAGGAUGAGAAUCACAGUUUGUGCUCCACAGUCUUGAACCCUUCAAUACAGAGCAGGCUUCUUAAGCUCUGCAUAGAGGCACAUGCAUUAUUCCUGGUAUCAUAUGAAUUUGCAGCUUCUUCUGAUGUCUUGAUAACCCACACAAUUAAAACUAAAGGAUUACAGUUCUUGUGUUGUAUUAAAUAAUGAAUGUUGAUAAACUGUUCACAAUGAGCCGAUGCUAAGAUGCUUUUUUUUACUCUACAUAGACAACACAAUGUUGAUUUUAAAAAGCUUCAACACAUAAUUCCUGCAUGCAAAUAAAGAGUUCAUACAUGCAA
Molecule: long non-coding RNA, 1139 nt
Organism: Acipenser ruthenus (sterlet)
Lineage: Eukaryota; Metazoa; Chordata; Actinopteri; Acipenseriformes; Acipenseridae
Exons: 2
Source: RefSeq, a predicted model, not a curated record